Molecule: non-coding RNA, 85 nt
Organism: Nelumbo nucifera (sacred lotus)
Lineage: Eukaryota; Viridiplantae; Streptophyta; Magnoliopsida; Proteales; Nelumbonaceae
Source: Rfam
GUCGAUAUGUCCGAGUGGUUAAGGAGAAGGGCUCGAAAUCUUUUGGGUUCUUUUACCUGCGCAGGUUCGAAUCCUGCUGUCGACG